This 75-nucleotide transfer RNA is filed under the name Desulfotomaculum sp. RNAcentral describes it as "tRNA-Thr". It matches the Rfam family "tRNA". From Rfam's summary of the family: Transfer RNA (tRNA) molecules are approximately 80 nucleotides in length. Their secondary structure includes four short double-helical elements and three loops (D, anti-codon, and T loops). Lineage: Bacteria; Bacillati; Bacillota; Clostridia; Eubacteriales; Desulfotomaculaceae. The record is from RNAcentral. RNAcentral also lists the same sequence under 1 other name.
GCUGGUGUGGCUCAGAGGUAGAGCAGCGCACUCGUAAUGCGCAGGUCGUCGGUUCAAAUCCGACCACCAGCUCCA